AAAACAUGUCUUUUUGAUAAAAAUUUAAAGUCAGGUCUGCUCACUGAAUUAUUUAAAGAGCCGCAGUAUAUUGACUGUGCAAAGGUAGCAUAAUCAAUAGUUUUUUAAUUGGAAACUAGAAUGAAAGAUUAGACGAAAAAUUAAUUUUCUUUGUUUUAAUAAAUUUAAUUUUAAAUUUAAGUGAAAAUGCUUAAAUAUAAUUAAAAGACGAGAAGACCCUAUAGAUUUUUAUUGUUGAAAUGAAUUUUUAAAUUUAAUUUAGUAAAAUAAUUUAAUUGGGGCGAUUUUAUAAUAUAGAUAACUUAAUUUUUUAAAACCAUAAAUAAUUGAAUAUUUGAUCUAAAAUUUUUAAAGAAAAGAUUAAAUUACCUUAGGGAUAACAGCGUAAUUUUAUUUAAGAGUUCAUAUCUAUAAUAAAGUUUGCGACCUCGAUGUUGAAUUAAGAUAAUAUAUUGGAGUAGAAAUUAAUAUAAUUAGUCUGUUCAACUAUUAAAUUCUUAC
RNAcentral lists this ribosomal RNA (501 nucleotides) under Ptycta frogneri. RNAcentral's name for it is "partial 16S ribosomal RNA". Lineage: Eukaryota; Metazoa; Arthropoda; Insecta; Psocodea; Psocidae. The record is from RNAcentral.